Molecule: non-coding RNA, 154 nt
Organism: Peromyscus maniculatus bairdii (prairie deer mouse)
Lineage: Eukaryota; Metazoa; Chordata; Mammalia; Rodentia; Cricetidae
Source: RefSeq, a predicted model, not a curated record
AGGAAUUCAUUGAAGAGCUGCUGUCUCCCCCCUUCGGGGGUCUGGUGGCGUUUGUGAAGGAGGCUGAAGGUUUGAUUGAGCGAGGACAGGCCGACCGACUUCGAGGGGAAGAAGGUAUGAGGCUGUUGUCAGGGACCGAGUGUAGAUCUCUGUG